GACGAACGCUGGCGGCGUGCUUAACACAUGCAAGUCGAACGGAAAGGCCCUGCUUUUGUGGGGUGCUCGAGUGGCGAACGGGUGAGUAACACGUGAGUAACCUGGCCUUGACUUUGGGAUAACUUCAGGAAACUGGGGCUAAUACCGGAUAGGAGCUCCUGCUGCAUGGGGGGGGUUGGAAAGUUUCGGCGGUUGGGGAUGGACUCGCGGCUUAUCAGCUUGUUGGUGGGGUAGUGGCUUACCAAGGGUUUGACGGGUAGCCGGCCUGGGAGGGUGACCGGCCACAUUGGGACUGCGAUACGGCCCAGACUCCUACGGGAGGCAGCAGUGGGGAAUAUUGCACAAUGGGCGGAAGCCUGAUGCAGCAACGCCGCGUGCGGGAUGACGGCCUUCGGGUUGUAAACCGCUUUCGCCUGUGACGAAGCGUGAGUGACGGUAAUGGGUAAAGAAGCACCGGCUAACUACGUG
This 468-nucleotide ribosomal RNA is filed under the name uncultured bacterium. RNAcentral describes it as "partial 16S ribosomal RNA". It matches the Rfam family "Bacterial small subunit ribosomal RNA", at positions 28 to 507 of the family's 1533-position model. The record is from RNAcentral.